UACGUAGGGGGCAAGCGUUGUCCGGAAUUAUUGGGCGUAAAGAGCGUGUAGGCGGCCAGAUAAGUCCGCUGUGAAAUCUCGAGGCUCAACUUCGAGCUGUCGGUGGAAACUAUCUGGCUAGAGUCCGGAAGAGGAGAAUGGAAUUCCUGGUGUAGCGGUGAGAUGCGCAGAUAUCAGGAAGAACACCCGUGGCGAAGGCGGUUCUCUGGGACGGUACUGACGCUGAGACGCGAAAGCGUGGGGAGCGAACAGG
This 253-nucleotide ribosomal RNA is filed under the name uncultured bacterium. Its description in RNAcentral is "partial 16S ribosomal RNA". It matches the Rfam family "Bacterial small subunit ribosomal RNA", at positions 524 to 776 of the family's 1533-position model. The record is from RNAcentral.